CGCUUUUCAUGCAUUUGUUUCUCUCUAAUCUUCAGUCGAUCCUUUGUUCUUCUUUUGCGACGGGGGAGUUGCUCAAAUCCUUAACUUUUAUUUGGGGGCAAACGAUCUUGUGUUUGCAUAUUCCCAAGUUAACGUCGCAUACGAAUGUUCGUCGACGUUGACGGAUCUCUCACACGGGAGAUUCUCCGUCGAUAUUGUCUCAUAUUCCAUCGCCUUGUGGAGCAGCGUUGCUGCCAUUACUUCUUGGGACUGGCCAUGAGACAUACAUAGUAUUUUUCCUUUUAUUUUCUUGGUUCUUAAUUCUGUUUUGCAAUUCCGAGGUUCUGUUGACUUGUUCUUAUACUUUGUUGGCCUGGUGACUGGUGUUGUCUUGCAAUUUGUAGUCUCAGAUUGGUAAAUUUAAUUCCAUGCUCCUCCCUAUUUGGGGGGCAAACUUUCUGUGUUGGCAUGGUUCCAAAAUAUGUAUAGCCAAUGAUGAAAUCAAUUAUCAAAACACCAUCUUUCGGGACUGAAUGGCUUCUAAGCCUUGAUGUUAUUCUGCAAUUCAGAGGCUAUUUACUUUUAGAACCUUUCGUGUAAUGUGUUUUCUUGGAGAGCUUGCACUUGUUAUUAUGCAUCCAAAUCCUAAUAAUCAACAUCAACUUAUCAUUCAGCUAAUUAGACAUUGUGUCAUGCAAACUAGGACAGAAAGCCUGUUUCUACACAACCGUGGAUGCGUUCCCGUGUUUACACUAUUAUGUUUGAAGAUAUAACGGUUGAGCCAGUGGGGACUUUUAGCUGCAUCCAAAUUUUCACAAUAAAAUGCAUUUGCAAUGCUGCACCAGAAGAACUGUUUCGAGAAACAGGAUCCGGCGCAGCUUUGUAAAUGCAUUCGAAUGUGAAGUUUUAAGAUCAUUCGUUUAGUAGCAUGUAUUCGAUUGUGCUGCUGCUGGUCCGGAAGACCUUUCCUUUAUAAGGAGAACCUUGAGCCUUUCCUUUAUAAGGAGGAGAUUUCAAUGGCACUAAGAUGGUUUUGCAUGGUUACACGAAGGUUUUGUGUGGAGGUAACAUUGUUGCUGAAUUUAGUCAGUACUUUCGUGUUGGUAAGGAAUCUUGCACGCGGUUUCACUUAUCUUAAAUUUUGUUUUGGUUAUGACUCUGUUUCUAUGCUGUCAUCGAACACCCCCCCCCCCCAAAAAAAGUCAUUUGACCCCUUGAAAAUAGGUGCUGCAGUGACCAGCAAAUUGAGGGAGACAAUUACUGUAGCUUCUUGUUUAGACCUUUCUUCUAUUGGUGAAGGAAUCGUGCUAUUUUGAUAAAAGCAAAUAUGAGAAGAGUUUUGUCUAAAGCUGUGAGGGCUUCUCAGAACCUGGUUUCCGAACAUGUUGAAUUGCUCACCAUAACCUCUUUGCGACAACGCGGUCUCCUGUGGACCUUGGAUGAAAGGGUUUAUUACCAAAAAGUGGGUGGACACAGUUGGUGAAAGGUUGAAACACGGAUCGUCACUUGGUGAAUGGCUGCUCACGAAUUUCAGCGCACUAUGGGAAGGCAACGGUUAAAAUGUAUAAACUGAAACAGGUGUGUUAAUAUUAGAUGUUUUAUUGGAAGAAGUGAUACUUGUCCCAUUAUAGCCGGCAUUUCCUGGUUCAAAUGAGCAACAUACGUGGUCUGGCUAUGGGCUUGAAGGGAGGCGUAGCCGUUAUAAAAUUUAAUUGUAUUUGUACACACUACGGAAGUUUCACUGUAUUUUCCUUGUUUCUUUAAUCGGUUUAAUCCUAAACGAAUCUGUGAGUGUGAAGUCACGAUCUGUUCACAAUCUACCGAUAAAGGAAAAAUAAUUAUCUCCUAUGUUAUGAUA
This is a long non-coding RNA of Neltuma alba, 1837 nucleotides long. RefSeq lists it as uncharacterized. NCBI's taxonomy places the organism in Eukaryota, Viridiplantae, Streptophyta, Magnoliopsida, Fabales, Fabaceae. The record is from RefSeq and is a predicted model, not a curated record. The transcript has 2 exons.